This is a long non-coding RNA of Quercus lobata, 532 nucleotides long. RefSeq lists it as uncharacterized. NCBI's taxonomy places the organism in Eukaryota, Viridiplantae, Streptophyta, Magnoliopsida, Fagales, Fagaceae. The transcript has 3 exons. The record is from RefSeq and is a predicted model, not a curated record.
GUUAUCUUCAGUGCUUUUCAGUUUUCACCGACCCGCUGAUGAGACCUCUCACUCUUGAGUCUCUCUUUAUUUGCUCAACCCUUUCUCAUCUUCCACACCCCAAUACCCUCAAAGAGAAGAAGAGCCUUCAUAUGAAGGAAGGUAAAGCCUUUUCAACGCUCGAAAAGGAUUGGGCAAUAAAGAGCAAAGACUGAUGGUUCAAGUGUUGGAGGGGGUGGAAUAAAGAAUGUUUACUCCUAAGCCAACGUGUUAGUGGAAGUUUGAAGAGAACACGUAUAUUUUGGAAUGGAAGGAUUUCGAAAGAAGGUGAUUUUUGUACGCCGUCAAAUACAUGAACAUGUGCUCUAAACUCUGAAGAAGAUGCCUCAAUUGAGGACAGUGGGGAAGAUGCAAAAAAUAUGAAGAUGUCAUCAGAUAAUAAAAGUGACGAAAGUGGUAAUUAUCAAACAGAUUUUGAUAUUAGAACACGGCCAAGGUGCAUAGGAAAAAGUCUUUUUUCUAAGACGAUUGUACCUGUGCAAGGUAUCUUUAA